AAACCUCAAAUCAGGAGGACUACCCGCUGAA
This 31-nucleotide ribosomal RNA is filed under the name Agaricus bitorquis. RNAcentral's name for it is "partial 28S ribosomal RNA". The record is from RNAcentral. Lineage: Eukaryota; Fungi; Basidiomycota; Agaricomycetes; Agaricales; Agaricaceae.